UGAAGGUGUGCAUGAUUCUCAUUACAGUUU
RNAcentral lists this non-coding RNA (30 nucleotides) under Mus musculus (house mouse). The record is from RNAcentral. Lineage: Eukaryota; Metazoa; Chordata; Mammalia; Rodentia; Muridae.